AUGCGCUCCUCCUGUUCACUGCUGAUAGUGAUAGUGCUGCUGCCCGCAUCGAGUGGCCAAGAUACCGUUUCGCAGGAUCCGCCAGAACUAGUGGUUCUGGAAGGACAGACCAUUAUACUGAACUGCACUUACUCCACAUCGCGUACAUUUCCCGAACUCUUCUGGUACAUCCAGCGUCCCGGGAAAGCUCUGAGAUAUUUAUUUAAGAUAUUCGGCAAGGAUGGGAAUGCUCGGUCUCCAGAUUCGUCUCCCCACUUCUCUGCCGAUUUAGACACGGAUAAGAAAUCAUUGUCCCUAAUGAUCUCCGGGGCUCUCGUCUCAGACGGGGCUGUGUAUCACUGUGCUUUGAGCCCCACACUGUGGCAGGUGCACAGCCUGUCCGUACAAAAUCCGGCGGAGACUCUCACCUCCUCUCACUGGAUCGAAUCCAGGGCCUUGCUGGUGACCAAGUCACACAGAAGAAACCAAACGCUACAUAUCACAUAA
Non-coding RNA from Pristis pectinata (smalltooth sawfish), 486 nucleotides. The record is from the annotation of a RefSeq genome assembly. NCBI's taxonomy places the organism in Eukaryota, Metazoa, Chordata, Chondrichthyes, Rhinopristiformes, Pristidae.